Molecule: long non-coding RNA, 997 nt
Filed under: Fukomys damarensis (Damara mole-rat)
Lineage: Eukaryota; Metazoa; Chordata; Mammalia; Rodentia; Bathyergidae
Description: lncRNA (ENSFDAG00000021659.1)
Source: RNAcentral
GUUUACGUGGCUGGAGCUGCUCUCACAGUUAGGUAGAGCCACGGUUUUUGCUUGUCCUGACCUCCAGCCUACACAGUGGGGCUGCUGACGCAGGUGUCUCUCAGUGAGAUUGGAACAGGGAACCGGCGGAGGGAGCCGCGGGCAGCUGCUCCGUGUUUCAGGGUCUGCUCCGGUACCUCCGCUCUGAGGAAGGGGACUGGAAGCCGGAGCCCUGCAGACGCCGCCCCUCCCAGGGCCAAGCCCUGCGGCUCGGUCCCGCCUCCUGCACACCUCUGUCCCGGCGCCGUCCGCAGCCUCCCGGGUGGUCCCGGAGUGCGGGGCCCAGGGAAACUCAGUGCCUUCUGCAGUGUCUGUUCUCCAGCAAGGGCUCUGACCCAGCGGGCUCCUUCUUGUUGCGAUGCGCGCGAUGCACGAAGAAAGGAAGACACUGUGCAGAGUCUCCGUGUUAGCCCCGUGGACCCUCGUCGUUCAGCCCGAGACGUCGCACCGAUAAAUGUUUCCGCCUCCUAACGCUGAGCUCCUGGCUCAGAUGCCUUCGCCUCCUUAGACUGCACCGCCAGCGGAUCAGCAGCACCGAGCUUGUCACACCGAAGGAAUUUAACGGACUCAGAAAGUCCUUCCAGAACUCUUCGCUCUCCCCUCCACCUGCUGCUCUGCUUCUUGUAAAUCCUGCUGGCUCUAUUCCUAGGGAGCUCCAAUGAAAGUAAGCCUCACAGAUGGAAAAAGAGGUAUAUAAAAAAUAGCAAACUUAUUUUUUGUUUUUGGUGUCGGGUAUCGAGCUCAGGACCUUGCACUUGUGAAGCAGGUGGCAGAACCACAGUGUCAAACCCCCUGCCCUAAAAAAGAACAAACUUCUAUCUGGUGCUCUAGACACUGACCAGAGUCACUCGCUGAGCCGCUGGCAUUAUUAAAGCCAUUUUUGCUCCUAGUUCUGUAUUUGAGUGCUCUGUCUACAACUCUCCCUCAGUUUCCUGCUACUUUUUUUUUUUUUUUUUUU